UAUUAGCCUUAGUCUCCAGAAGACCAGAUGGCCAAUCAAUAUUUCUCAAGCCAUUAAUGGCGAGCGAAGGAGGGAGAUCUGUUAUUUAAAAAUGAGGCAGCAAUACGAUUGCAUAUAAAAAUGGCAGACAGGAGAGUGGAGCACUCAUGCUCGUAUUUUUUCAGCUUUUAUCUAACACACACACACACACACACACCCUGACUGCCUCUAUCUGCCUUCUUCUUUGGCUUUUUUCCUUUGGCUAUAAUCGGCCUCAUCUGCAGCAGAUAAAUUUCCGUCCCUCAGCGAGGGUAGGCCAAGAACCCCAACCAGCUCAAAUUGACCCCAACAAAACAUGACAUGGGCAUGGCAACCAACUGCCUGCGGGGAUGAUUGGUACAUGGUGGUUUGGAGUGCUAGAAGAGCAGCCAUUUGGGGAUUUUCUUGCCUCUGUCAACGUGCUGGAAACCAAUCCGUCAAGUCUUAUUUUUUUUCACCGCUACACAGGAAAAUGGGCCACGGGAAUCGGCAAGUGCCAUUCGGACUUGCAUGCAGGCCAACCAUUUAUUAGGAAAAGUGGCAGUGGUGAUGCAAGCUCUCGUGGGGCUUGAAAGACGAUUGAGUGCGUGUCUCCACAACGCCGCCAGAGCUCUUACUCCAGAAACAGCGUGCGGUCAAGAUGGGAGAAAAACAAGUCCUGCAAUUGUUUUGGGUUGUGUAUUCCAAAAAGCAGCUCGUCACGUUCUCUCGCUGCAUGGCUUUCACUGCCGCUUCCGAAACAGCUCGUAUUCAAGUUAAACACCAGGCUAUCUAAAGCCUGCUAAGCACCUCCGCAAAGUUACGCAGUGUAAAUCAGCUGCCAUCAGCCAAGGACGCCACAGCCUAUCAGUGGCAAAUUAAAAGUUGUUGCCUCUGUUUUGGACCCACGUCUAUAUUUUUUCCGCUGCUGUUCGUGACAGCUGCGGGCAGGAUGCCAACACGGGCUGGUUUACAAAGCCGUGGAAGGCUGAACGGAUAUGAGCCGCGGAAAGUAUAUCAUAUCAAAGUGUGAUUAUAUACUAUUCUAUCUGAGCGGAUACACCUUGAUGUAUGAGGCAAUUGGGGACAGGCUGUCAGUACUCUGUCCUCGGGCCCUCGGCUUUCAAGGAUGCCGAGCCGGUCACAUCCAAUUUCAACACCCAAAUUUGCUUCCGUGUUACUUUGAUAAGAACUCCAAAUGUCCUCUGAGGUGCAGUGCGGAAUGACAUGUGCAUUGGAGAUCCGCAACAAGGAGAGGCGGUUAUUUUCAGGAAGAGUCCGUUGGAGCGGGAACACCGUCUGAAUGUAAAAAGGUAGAAAAACAGUCUCUCUGUCUAGUCAGCAGAGAGUUAGCAGAGCACUAUGGAUGGCUGUGUCAAUACAAGUGACUCUUUGUUUUAUAGCCACACCAGCUCGCCAUCCAUCCAUGGCGCGCGGGUUAUUGACUUAACAUUACGAGCGUUGUAUUUGUGCCUCUGAGCACGACUCGGGCUAAAAGCAUAUUUGUCCAUAACGGAUCCAUCACUCUGACUAUUCAUUUUAAAUCAACAACAAACCUGAACAACUAACGAAAACUAAAAACGUUGCAACACAUCAGCAACAAUUCCGACAUAAAACGCUGAUACACUGACAGUCAAAAGAAACAAUCGUCAUUAUUGCAAAUAUAAUCCAAGCCAUCACAAUUUUAAAUUAAAAAAAGCCUGCUUUGUCAACUUGCAAUUAAGCUAAUCUGGAAACAAAAAAAUAUUUA
Molecule: long non-coding RNA, 1747 nt
Organism: Syngnathus typhle (broad-nosed pipefish)
Lineage: Eukaryota; Metazoa; Chordata; Actinopteri; Syngnathiformes; Syngnathidae
Exons: 4
Source: RefSeq, a predicted model, not a curated record